UACGUAGGGUGCAAGCGUUGUCCGGAAUCAUUGGGCGUAAAGCGCGCGUAGGUGGCUAUGUAAGUCCGUUGUGAAAGUCAAAGGCUCAACCUUUGAAAGCCGAUGGAUACUGCAUAGCUAGAGUACGGAAGAGGCGAGUGGAAUUCCUGGUGUAGCGGUGGAAUGCGCAGAUAUCAGGAGGAACACCAAUAGCGAAGGCAGCUCGCUGGGACGUUACUGACACUGAGGCGCGAAAGCGUGGGGAGCGAACAGG
This 253-nucleotide ribosomal RNA is filed under the name uncultured bacterium. RNAcentral's name for it is "partial 16S ribosomal RNA". It matches the Rfam family "Bacterial small subunit ribosomal RNA", at positions 524 to 776 of the family's 1533-position model. The record is from RNAcentral.